UACGUAGGGGGCAAGCGUUGUCCGGAUUUAUUGGGCGUAAAGAGCGUGUAGGCGGCUUUACAGGUCCGUUGUGAAAACUCGAGGCUCAACCUCGAGACGCCGGUGGAAACCGUAAAGCUAGAGUCCGGAAGAGGAGAGUGGAAUUCCUGGUGUAGCGGUGAAAUGCGCAGAUAUCAGGAGGAACACCCGUGGCGAAAGCGGCUCUCUGGGACGGUACUGACGCUGAGACGCGAAAGCGUGGGAGCGAACAGG
RNAcentral lists this ribosomal RNA (252 nucleotides) under uncultured bacterium. RNAcentral's name for it is "partial 16S ribosomal RNA". It matches the Rfam family "Bacterial small subunit ribosomal RNA", at positions 524 to 776 of the family's 1533-position model. The record is from RNAcentral.